Molecule: ribosomal RNA, 406 nt
Filed under: uncultured bacterium
Lineage: Bacteria
Description: partial 16S ribosomal RNA
Rfam family: Bacterial small subunit ribosomal RNA
Source: RNAcentral
AUUGAACGCUGGCGGCAGGCUUAACACAUGCAAGUCGAACGAGUGGCGGACGGGUGAGUAAUAUCUGGGAACCUGCCCGAUGGAGGGGGAUAACUACUGGCAACAGUAGCUAAUACCGCAUACCCUCGGAGGUGCCGAGAUGGGAUUAGCUAGUUUGUUGGGUAAAGGAUCACCUAGCAAACGAUCCAUAGCUGGUUUGUGAGGAGGACCAGCCACAAUGGAACUGAAACACGGCCCAGACUCCUACGGUAGGCAGCAGUGGAGAAUUUGGUACAAGGGGAGGAAGCCUGGUGUAACCAUGCCGCGUGUAUGAAGAAGUCCUUCGGGUUGUAAAGUACUUUUAGCGGGGAAGCGUUAUCAGCAGAAGAAGCACCGGCUAACUCCGUGCCAGCAGCCGCGGUAAUAC